GGGGACGUUACGGAUUCGACAGGGGUCGUCUGAGCUUGAGUUGCGCGUCGGAGGGCUCGGCUCCGUCAGAAACGGCAGUUUAUAAUAACUGGCAAAACAAACAACAACUUAGCAUUCGCAGCUUAAUAGCUGACUGAAUCUGCCUUUCAAUUCCAUUGCCCACGUGGCAUUGUAAGGCUCAACUUUAGUGGGAUACGCCGGCUGUUGCCUCCUGAGGCAGACGGAAGAGAUUCGCAGGAUAGCGUACAAGACGCCCUGAUUGUCGGCAUAAUGCUACGCGAAUCGCAAAUAGACGAUCUACACGCGUAGAUGCUUGAGUGUUGGAGCCUCUGGACGCGGGUUCGACUCCCGCCGUCUCCAUAA
This 363-nucleotide transfer-messenger RNA is filed under the name Caryophanaceae. RNAcentral's name for it is "Sporosarcina sp001563475 Standard tmRNA". It matches the Rfam family "transfer-messenger RNA". Rfam says of the family: Bacterial tmRNA, also known as 10Sa RNA or SsrA, is named for its dual tRNA and mRNA-like properties. The record is from RNAcentral. RNAcentral also lists the same sequence under 1 other name. Lineage: Bacteria; Bacillati; Bacillota; Bacilli; Caryophanales.